UCUAAGGAUGAGUGAAAGUAAAAUUUCACUCUAAAUAAUAUACAUCGGUAAUGUUGACCGUCCUCAUUUCUCUUCUUAAAGUAAUGUUUCCUUCUUGUAGGGCCGGUAGCUCAGUUGGUUAGAGCACACCCUUGAUAAGGGUGGGGUCGAAAGUUCGAGUCUUUCUCGGCCCACCAAACUUAAAUGGGGGAUUAGCUCAUCUGGGAGAGCGCCUGAUUUGCAUUCAGGAGGUAGCAGGUUCGAUCCCUGUAUCCUCCACCAGGAAACAUUUAGUUAUUAAAACUGUAAAGAAAAAUAAUUUAUAUCAAUAUCUAUAUCCGAACAUUAAAAGUUAUUAUUUAAUGUUCAAAAUAAAAAUUUGAUCACAACACAGAAAAUUUUUCUGUGCAUAAAU
RNAcentral lists this transfer RNA (394 nucleotides) under uncultured marine alpha proteobacterium. RNAcentral describes it as "16S-23S intergenic spacer region". The stretch from base 100 to 173 matches the Rfam family "tRNA". Lineage: Bacteria; Pseudomonadati; Pseudomonadota; Alphaproteobacteria. The record is from RNAcentral.